Molecule: ribosomal RNA, 492 nt
Filed under: uncultured bacterium
Lineage: Bacteria
Description: partial 16S ribosomal RNA
Rfam family: Bacterial small subunit ribosomal RNA
Source: RNAcentral
AGUGAACGCUGGCGGUAGGCCUAACACAUGCAAGUCGAACGGCAGCACAGUAAGAGCUUGCUCUUACGGGUGGCGAGUGGCGGACGGGUGAGGAAUACAUCGGAAUCUACUUUUUCGUGGGGGAUAACGUAGGGAAACGUACGCUAAUACCGCAUACGACCUACGGGUGAAAGCAGGGGUUCUUCGGAGCUUUCGCGAUAGAAUGAGCCGAUGUCGGAUUAGCUAGUUGGCGGGGUAAGGGCCCAGCCAGGCGACGCUACGUAGCUGGUUCGAGAGGAUGGAUCAGCAACACGGGACCUGGGCAACGUUCCAGACUCCUACGGGAGGCAGCAGUGGGAAUUAUUGGACAAUGGGCGCAAGCCUGAUCCAGCCAGACGGCGUGGGUGAAGAAGGCCUUCGGGUUGUAAAGCCCUUUUGUUGGGAAAGAAAAGCAGCAGGUUAAUACCCCGCUGUUCUGACGGUACCCAAAGAAUAAGAACCGGCUAACUUCGU